This 22-nucleotide microRNA is filed under the name Shrimp white spot syndrome virus. RNAcentral describes it as "wssv-mir45". Lineage: Naldaviricetes; Nimaviridae. The record is from RNAcentral.
UUCAGUUGUAAAAACGACGGAA